This 64-nucleotide transfer RNA is filed under the name Perlomyia kappa. RNAcentral's name for it is "tRNA-Ala". It matches the Rfam family "tRNA". From Rfam's summary of the family: Transfer RNA (tRNA) molecules are approximately 80 nucleotides in length. Lineage: Eukaryota; Metazoa; Arthropoda; Insecta; Plecoptera; Leuctridae. The record is from RNAcentral.
AGGGUAGUAGUUAAGUAUAACAUUUGGUUUGCAUCCAAAAAGUAUUGAAAUUCAAUCUACCUUA